CCUACGGGAGGCAGCAGUAGGGAAUUUUCGUCAAUGGGCGCAAGCCUGAACGAGCAAUGCCGCGUGAACGAGGAAGGUCUUCGGAUCGUAAAGCUCUGUUGAAGGGGAAAAAGAGCGGCGAGAGGAAAUGCUUUCUGAUUGAUAUUACCCUUCGAGGAAGUCACGGCUAACUACGUGCCAGUAGCCGCGGUAAUACGUAGGUGGCGAGCGUUAUCCGGAAUGAUUGGGCGUAAAGGGUGCGUAGGCGGCCUGCUAAGUCUGGAGUGAAAGGUACCGGCUCAACCGGUACAGGCUCUGGAAACUGGCGGGAUAGAGAGCAGGAGAGGGCGGUGGAACUCCAUGUGUAGCGGUAAAAUGCGUAGAUAUAUGGAAGAACACCAGUGGCGAAGGCGGCCGCCUGGCCUGUUAACUGACGCUGAGGCACGAAAGCGUGGGGAGCAAAUAGGAUUAGAUACCCGGGUAGUC
RNAcentral lists this ribosomal RNA (465 nucleotides) under uncultured bacterium. RNAcentral's name for it is "partial 16S ribosomal RNA". It matches the Rfam family "Bacterial small subunit ribosomal RNA", at positions 338 to 795 of the family's 1533-position model. The record is from RNAcentral.